GGGUAAAUAUGAUGCGCAAGUCCACUACUGUCAUGUUUAGAUCUGUCCAUGUGAUAAUGACAAUCAAAAUAUGGAGGCUGAUGAGUAGGUUGACAUCAUCAUGCAGCUUCCCACAUAAUUUUUUCAAAUUUAAGAGAAUAUUUGGAGAAUAAUUCCUUCCGCCACUUGGAAAUUGGUUUUUGAUGAUAAGUAGGUCAGCUGUCAUGCAAGGUCUAAUUCAGUAAACAAGUUGUAUAAUUAAACAGUUAUCAUACUGGAUCGUCAUGUAAUAUUAUGUCAGCAUGC
This 285-nucleotide long non-coding RNA is filed under the name Elaeis guineensis (African oil palm). RNAcentral describes it as "long non-coding RNA (EGUI_LNC048823)". The record is from RNAcentral. Lineage: Eukaryota; Viridiplantae; Streptophyta; Magnoliopsida; Arecales; Arecaceae.